UACGGAGGGUGCAAGCGUUAUUCGGAAUUACUGGGCGUAAAGGGCGCGUAGGCGGCUUAGUAAGUCAGUUGUGAAAGCCCGGGGCUUAACCCCGGAAGUGCAAUUGAAACUGCCAGGCUUGAGUAUGGUAGAGGGAAAUGGAAUUCCUGGUGUAGCGGUGAAAUGCGUAGAUAUCAGGAGGAACACCGGUGGCGAAGGCGAUUUCCUGGACCAAAACUGACGCUGAGGCGCGAAGGCGUGGGGAGCAAACAGG
Molecule: ribosomal RNA, 253 nt
Filed under: uncultured bacterium
Lineage: Bacteria
Description: partial 16S ribosomal RNA
Rfam family: Bacterial small subunit ribosomal RNA
Source: RNAcentral